CCUACGGGAGGCAGCAGUGAGGAAUAUUGGUCAAUGGGCGGAAGCCUGAACCAGCCAAGUAGCGUGCAGGAUGACGGCCCUACGGGUUGUAAACUGCUUUUAUACGGGAAUAACGCGCCUUACGUGUAGGGCUUUGCAUGUACCGUAUGAAAAAGGCCCGGCUAAUUCCGUGCCAGCAGCCGCGGUAAUACGGAAGGUCCGGGCGGUAUCCGGAUUUAUUGGGGUUAAAGGGAGCGUAGGCCGCAUGUCAAGCGUGCUGGGAAAUGUACGGGCUCAACCCGGGCCUUGCAGCGCAAACUGGCGUGCUUGAGUCCGCGAGAAGCAGGCGGAAUUCGUGGUGUAGCGGUGAAAUGCUUAGAUAUGACGAAGAACCCCGAUGGCGAAGGCAGCUUGCUGCAGCGGAACUGACGCUGAGGCUCGAAAGCGCGGGUAUCGAACAGGAUUAGAUACCCUUGUAGUC
This 460-nucleotide ribosomal RNA is filed under the name uncultured bacterium. RNAcentral describes it as "partial 16S ribosomal RNA". It matches the Rfam family "Bacterial small subunit ribosomal RNA", at positions 338 to 795 of the family's 1533-position model. The record is from RNAcentral.